UAUUAAUGUCUGGGUAUGUUGAAGAAUGGAAAUUUGUGAUUGUAUCGGUUCUGGGUAUGUGAAUUUUGUGCUAAAAACUCUUUUUCUAAGUAAAUUUCGGGAUUUUCCGUGCUCAGAGGGUUCUUCGGUGAUUGAUUAAGGAAGUUGGUUGUUGAAUUUUGGUUUUCGAUGGUAUUGUUGGGGAUCUCUUCUUAAAUGUUUAUUUCUGAGGGUAGUG
This 217-nucleotide unclassified non-coding RNA is filed under the name Hevea brasiliensis (rubber tree). The record is from RNAcentral. Lineage: Eukaryota; Viridiplantae; Streptophyta; Magnoliopsida; Malpighiales; Euphorbiaceae.